AUCUAUGGCCAUGCUACCCUGAACAAACCCCAUCCCAUCUGAUCUCGGAAGUUAAACAGGGUCGGGCCUGGUUAGUACUUGGAUGAGAGACCACCUAGGAAGACCAGGUGCUGUAGGUG
Molecule: ribosomal RNA, 119 nt
Filed under: Pteropus alecto (black flying fox)
Lineage: Eukaryota; Metazoa; Chordata; Mammalia; Chiroptera; Pteropodidae
Source: RNAcentral